RNAcentral lists this transfer RNA (81 nucleotides) under Deltaproteobacteria bacterium. Its description in RNAcentral is "tRNA-Gln". It matches the Rfam family "tRNA". From Rfam's summary of the family: Transfer RNA (tRNA) molecules are approximately 80 nucleotides in length. Their secondary structure includes four short double-helical elements and three loops (D, anti-codon, and T loops). Further hydrogen bonds mediate the characteristic L-shaped molecular structure. tRNAs have two regions of fundamental functional importance: the anti-codon, which is responsible for specific mRNA codon recognition, and the 3' end, to which the tRNAs corresponding amino acid is attached (by aminoacyl-tRNA synthetases). tRNAs cope with the degeneracy of the genetic code in two manners: having more than one tRNA (with a specific anti-codon) for a particular amino acid; and 'wobble' base-pairing, i.e. permitting non-standard base-pairing at the 3rd anti-codon position. Lineage: Bacteria; Pseudomonadati; Myxococcota; Myxococcia. The record is from RNAcentral.
CGAAGGUGGUGGAAUUGGUGGAUGCGCUGGUUUUUGGUACCAGUGAGUAACAUCGUGGGGGUUCGAGUCCCCCCAUUCGCA